UUCACCUCCCAGCCAUUUUGCAGGGUGGCUAUCAAUAGAUUGGUCUAAAAGGAAGAACAAAGAAAAGGGCACCAAAGAAGAUAAAUGAAAAUACAAGGGCAUAAGCUGAACUGUGGACAUCCUGCCACUGGGAAUUAAGUUAAAGUAGAAAAAAACACAGAAUGUAAUGGGGACUCCACUCACAAGAAGAAUUUGGAUCAAAGCGUGGCAGUGAGGGGAAGCAUUGAGCAGUGCCCAUUUCAAAUGAAGCCCGACUUGAUCCUGAACAUAACCUACAAGAAGAAAAGGACCGCAGGCUAUACACAAAGCAUGGUGUCAGCAUCUACUUCUGAUGAGGGCCUCAGGAAACUUACAAUCGUGAUGGAAGGAGAAGAGGAAGCCAGUGCAUCACAUAGCAAGAAAGGGAGCAAGAGAGAAGGGGACAGUGCAACACACUUAAAAAAAAAUAAGCCUUAUCUCACGAGACAGAACUAACUGAGUGAGAGUUCACUAAUCACCAAGGGAAUGAUGCUAAGUCAUUCAUGAGGGAUCCGCCCCCAUGAUCCAGUCACCUCUCACCAGACCCCACCUCCAACACUGGGGAUUAUAUUUCAGCAUGAGACUUGGAGGGCACAAACAUCCAAACCAUAUCAGUCUUCAACCCCUCUUCCUGACAUACAACUCCUAAAUCUCUUAGAAUUUCCAGAGUGCUGUCUUUUUAUGUGUUAAUGAAGUGGCUAGUGGCUCACAGCCCCUAGGAAGCUUCAGGAUGGGGGCUGGUCACUGGAAAGACCAAGUCAUAAUUAGAGGGUUGGGACUUUCAGCCCACCCCCAACCUCUGGGGAGGAGAGAGGGGCCAAAGCUCAAGUUGAUCACCAGUGGCCAGGGUUUUAAUUAAUCAUGUGGCCGGGUGCGGUGGCUCACGCCUGUAAUUCCAGCACUUUGGGAGGCCAAGGCAGGCGGAUCACGAGGUCAGGAGAUGAAGACCAUCCUGGCUAAAACAGUGAAACCCUGUCUCUACUAAAAAUACAAAAAAUUAGCCGGGUGUGGUGGCACACACCUGUAGUCCCAGCUACUCAGGAGGCUGAGGCAGGAGAAUCACUUGAACCUGGGAGGCAGAGGUUACAGUGAGCGGAGAUCGCACCACUGCACUCCAACCUGGGCAACAGAACGAUACUCCGUCUCAAAAAAAGUAAAAAUAAUAAAAUAAGUAAAAAAGAAUUAAUCAUGCCUAUGUAAUUAAGCCUCCAUAAAAACACAAAAGAAUAGGGUUCAGAGAGCCUCUGGAUAGCUGAACAUCUGGAGGCUCCUAGACAGUGGCAUGUCCAGAGGGCAUGAAAGCUCUGUGCCCCUUUUUUGCCCUAUGCAUCUCAUCAUCUGUAUGCUUGGUAAUAUCCUUUAUGAUAUACCAGUUAAAUGUAAGUGUUUCUCUGAGUUCCUUGAGCCACUCUAGCAAAUCAAUGGACCCCAAAGACAGGAUCGUAGGAAUCCCAACUUGCAGUCAGUUGGUCGGAAGUUCUGAGGCCCAGACUUGCGACUGGUAGGAAGUACGGGCAGCUUUGUGAGACUGAGCCCUCCCUCAA
Long non-coding RNA from Cercocebus atys (sooty mangabey), 1562 nucleotides. RefSeq lists it as uncharacterized. The transcript has 4 exons. NCBI's taxonomy places the organism in Eukaryota, Metazoa, Chordata, Mammalia, Primates, Cercopithecidae. The record is from RefSeq and is a predicted model, not a curated record.